ACGGACCAAGGAGUUCAGCGUGCACGCGAGUCAUUGGGUGGUAAAACCCAAAGGCGUAAUGAAAGUGAAGGGAACUUUACGUUUCUGAGGGAGGAUGAGUCGGUUACCCGCAAGGGGCUGCUCCGCACUCCCGGGGCGUCUCUUUCUCAUUGCGAGUGGAGGCGCACCCAGAGCGUACACGCUGAUACCCGAAAGAUGGUGAACUAUGCCUGGCCAGGACGAAGCCAGGGGAAACCCUGGUGGAGGUCCGCAGCGAUUCUGACGUGCAAAUCGAUCGUCGGAGCUGGGUAUAGGGGCGAAAGACCAAUCGAACCAUCUAGUAGCUGGUUCCCUCCGAAGUUUCCCUCAGGAUAGCUUGCGCUCAUGUGAACGAGUCUCAUCCGGUAGAGCGAAUGAUUAGAGGCCUUGGGGUCGAAACGACCUCAACCUAUUCUCAAACUCCAAAUAGAUGAGAACUCCGGCUUUUCUUGAACAAUGUUUUUGAAGCCGGGGGGCUUGGAUCAGAGUGCCAAGUGGGCCAAUUUUGGUAAGCAGAACUGGCGCUGUGGGAUGAACCAAACGUCGAGUUAAGGCGCCUAAAUCGACGCUCAUGUGAAACCAUGAAAGGCGUUGGUUGCUUAAGACAGCAGGACGGUGGCCAUGGAAGUCGGAAUCCGCUAAGGAGUGUGUAACAACUCACCUGCCGAAGCAACUAGCCCUGAAAAUGGAUGGCGCUGUAGCGUCGUGCCUAUACUCGACCGUCAACGGCAAAGAUUGGCUGACGGGCAACCGUCGGCCGUUACGCCUUGACGAGUAGGAGGGCCGCGGCGGCGUGCGUAGAAGGGUCUGGGCGCGAGCCUGCCUGGAGCCGCCGUCGGUGCAGAUCUUGGUGGUAGUAGCAAAUACUCCAGCGAGGCCCUGGAGGACUGAUGUGGAGAAGGGUUUCUUGUGAACAGCUGUUGCACAAGAGUCAGUCGGUCCUAAGCCCUAGGAGAAAUCCGAAGCGAUGGGUUGCCGUGAACUUACACUCGUGUAUGUGUGCUGGCACCCGUUUGGGCGAAAGGGAAUCCGGUUCCUAUUCCGGAACCUGGCAGUGGAACCGUUCCAAUUCGGGCCCUCUGAGGACUCGUCAGGGCAACCUGAAUAGACCCGGAGACGCCGACAGGAGGUUGGGGGAGAGUUGUCUCUUCUCUAUAAGCGAUCGAGUUCCCUGGAAACUUCUAGCAAGGAGAUAGGGUUUGGAUCGCGAAGAGCACUGCAGUUACGGCAGUGUCCCAAUCUUCCUCUCGGACCUUGAAAAUCCGGGUGAGGGCCACGAGGAACCCCACGCCAGACCGUACCCAUAUCCGCAGCAGGUCUCCAAGGUGCAAAGCCUCUAGUCGAUAGAUAAU
Molecule: ribosomal RNA, 1370 nt
Filed under: Halophylus chenopodos
Lineage: Eukaryota; Metazoa; Arthropoda; Insecta; Hemiptera; Miridae
Description: partial large subunit ribosomal RNA
Rfam family: Eukaryotic large subunit ribosomal RNA
Source: RNAcentral